Molecule: ribosomal RNA, 454 nt
Filed under: uncultured bacterium
Lineage: Bacteria
Description: partial 16S ribosomal RNA
Rfam family: Bacterial small subunit ribosomal RNA
Source: RNAcentral
GAUGAACGCUGACAGCAUGCUUAACACAUGCAAGUCUACUUGAACUUCGGUUUGGGUGGCGGACGGGUGAGUAACGCGUAAAGAACUUACCUCACAGUUAGGGACAACAUUUGGAAACGAAUGCUAAUACCUGAUAUUAUGAUUUUAGGGCAUCCUAAGAUUAUGAAAGCUAUAUGCGCUGUGAGAGAGCUUUGCGUCCCAUUAGCUAGUUGGAGAGGUAACGGCUCACCAAGGCGAUGAUGGGUAGCCGGCCUGAGAGGGUGAACGGCCACAAGGGGACUGAGACACGGCCCUUACUCCUACGGGAGGCAGCAGUGGGGAAUAUUGGACAAUGGACCAAAAGUCUGAUCCAGCAAUUCUGUGUGCACGAUGACGUUUUUCGGAAUGUAAAGUGCUUUCAGUUGGGAAGAAAAAAAUGACGGUACCAACAGAAGAAGUGACGGCUAAAUACGUG